This 962-nucleotide long non-coding RNA is filed under the name Mytilus galloprovincialis (Mediterranean mussel). Lineage: Eukaryota; Metazoa; Mollusca; Bivalvia; Mytilida; Mytilidae. The record is from RNAcentral.
AUUGAGAAUAACUAUAAUGUAAUUAAACAUUACCUCCUUUACAAAAUUGUACAUUUGAAAUAACAAUAUAAAACAAAGAAUAUGAAAUUAAUGAGUUUAAUAUUUGGUUAAAUAUUAGAGACAACAAUAACAAUUCAGGGUGUAGGGUAAUCAAAACCAGUCAUACAAGGUUAUCAAAUGGUGUUCAGUAAGGAAGGUAGCAGAAAAUUCUGAUUUUACAUGAUCUGACAAGUGUUACAAAUAUUUGAUAUACUGGAAAUAGGGUGUACUGUGAUUUGAAACGAUGAUAGUCCGUCGGAAGGGGACGAUAAAUAACUGUGUUAAGAGAGAGCAAUAUCUCUUGCACGUAAAAGACACCCUUGUAGAUUUCGAAAAAAAAAGCAGGCUUAUGCCGCUACAAGGCAGCACUCACACACACAAAGUGGAAAGAGAUUAUAUAAGUUGCAAUAACUUUUUUUCCCAAUCCACUAUAAAUAAAUAUGUUUUAACUAAAACUUUCUUUGGAUUAAAUAGUCAGAAAAAUAUUCUGCAAUUUAAACAAACUCAUUUACAGUGUAAUCAAAUAAAACACUGCUUUAAUUGGUAUAUAAACAUUAAAUGUAUAAGCAGACACAAAAUAAAUCUAAUAAUUUGAUUUUUUGGGACUUUUAUGUUGAAGUAUUUGGCAACAGAAUGAACAGUUAUGUUAAUCUUCACAAAUUCUGAGGAUGAGAUACACACACAUAACUACAUGUAUCUGAAUGACGAUGAAAUACAUAUACCAUUAACAAUAAAACAUAAACGGUUCCCUAUUAUUACAUUACUUAACCCAACUCAAGAUUUCAUUAUAUCUUAAAAGCAACUACAACCCUAAAAGAACAAUGGCAAUGCAUAUCUAAAAUAAUCUUGUUAACAUUGAAUUAAUAUUAAAAUAAAUUAUUUAGUACAAAAAGUAAAACUUGAUUAGUCAUUUUAUGAUGGUU